UCCUUUAGAAAAAUAAUUGAAGGUAAGCCCUGCCCUAUGUUUUCAUAAAUGGCCGCAGUACCCUGACUGUGCUAAGGUAGCAUAAUCAUUUGUCUUUUAAUUAAAGACUAGCAUGAAUGGGUAAACAUAAUAAGUACUGUCUCAUUUAUACCCCUAAAAACUUUACUUUUGGUGAAAAUACCAAAAUCAAAAAGAAGGACAAGAAGACCCUGUGGAGCUUUAAAUUUAUUUUUAGUUGGGGCGACUUUGGAAAACACAUAUCUUCCUACAUUUAUAAGACCUAUUAGUCUAAUUUUGAACCUAAGGGAACAAAAACUAAGCUACCCCAGGGUUAACAGGCUUAAAUUCUUUAAGAGCCCAUAUUGACAAGACUAUUUGGCACCUCGAUGUUGGCUUAGUAAAUCUAUCUGUUGCAGAAGACAGACAAGAAGGUUUGUUCACCCUUUAAUAUACUACGUGAUCUG
RNAcentral lists this ribosomal RNA (464 nucleotides) under Trilobodrilus ellenscrippsae. RNAcentral's name for it is "partial large subunit ribosomal RNA". It matches the Rfam family "Bacterial large subunit ribosomal RNA", at positions 1830 to 2607 of the family's 2925-position model. Lineage: Eukaryota; Metazoa; Annelida; Polychaeta; Dinophilidae. The record is from RNAcentral.